UACGUAGGGGGCUAGCGUUGUCCGGAAUUAUUGGGCGUAAAGAGCGUGUAGGCGGUCCGGUAAGUCAGAUGUGAAAGUCAAGGGCUCAACCCUUGAAUGCCGGUUGAUACUGUCGGGCUAGAGUCCGGAAGAGGCGAGUGGAAUUCCCGGUGUAGCGGUGAAAUGCGCAGAUAUCGGGAGGAACACCAAUGGCGAAGGCAGCUCGCUGGGACGGUACUGACGCUGAGACGCGAAAGCGUGGGGAGCAAACAGG
Molecule: ribosomal RNA, 253 nt
Filed under: uncultured bacterium
Lineage: Bacteria
Description: partial 16S ribosomal RNA
Rfam family: Bacterial small subunit ribosomal RNA
Source: RNAcentral